Molecule: ribosomal RNA, 380 nt
Filed under: uncultured organism
Description: partial 16S ribosomal RNA
Rfam family: Bacterial small subunit ribosomal RNA
Source: RNAcentral
GGGCGGAGCAAGCGUUGUUCGGAUUUAUUGGGUGUAAAGGGUGCGCAGGCGGUCGAUUAAGUCGGGAGUGAAAUGUCUACGGCUCAACCGAGAGAUUGCUUCCGAAACUGAUCGACUUGAGUACGGGAGGGGAGCGUGGAAUUCCUGGUGUAGCGGUGAAAUGCGUAGAUAUCAGGAGGAACAUCUGUGGCGAAGGCGACGCUCUGGACCGUAACUGACGCUCAGGCACGAAAGCCAGGGGAGCGAACGGGGGAUUAGAUACCCCGGUAGUCCUGGCUGUAAACGUUGGGCGCUAGGUGUGGGGGGUAUCGACCCCCCCCCCCGGUGCCGCAGCUAACGCAUUAAGCGCCUCACCUGGGGGAGUACGACCCGCAAGGUUG